CUACGGAGGCAGCAGUGAGGAAUAUUGCACAAUGGGGGGAACCCUGAUGCAGCAACGCCGCGUGGAGGAUGACGCAUUUCGGUGUGUAAACUCCUUUUAUAUGUCAAGAAAAUGACGGUAGCAUAUGAAUAAGCACCGGCUAACUCACGUGCCAGCAGCCGCGGUAAUACGGAGGGUGCAAGCGUUACUCGGAAUCACUGGGCGUAAAGGACGCGUAGGCGGGUAGGAAAGUCAGGUGUGAAAUCCUACAGCUUAACUGUAGAACUGCACUUGAAACUUCUAAUCUAGAGUAUGGGAGGGGGAGAUGGAAUUAGUGGUGUAGGGGUAAAAUCCGUAGAUAUCACUAGGAAUACCUAAAGCGAAGGCGAUCUCCUGGAACAUUACUGACGCUAAGGCGUGAAAGCGUGGGGAGCAAACAGGAUUAGAUACCCCUGUAGUC
This 439-nucleotide ribosomal RNA is filed under the name uncultured bacterium. RNAcentral describes it as "partial 16S ribosomal RNA". It matches the Rfam family "Bacterial small subunit ribosomal RNA", at positions 339 to 795 of the family's 1533-position model. The record is from RNAcentral.